UGCUAACGACGAACGUUACGCACUGGCAGCCUAAGGGCCGCCGUCCUCGCACUGGCUCGCUGACGGGCUAGGGUCGAAAGACUAGCGAGGUCAUUUACGUCAGAUAAG
This 108-nucleotide non-coding RNA is filed under the name fish metagenome. The record is from RNAcentral.